Molecule: long non-coding RNA, 664 nt
Filed under: Olea europaea (common olive)
Lineage: Eukaryota; Viridiplantae; Streptophyta; Magnoliopsida; Lamiales; Oleaceae
Description: long non-coding RNA (OEUR_LNC007545)
Source: RNAcentral
ACAGUUUAUGUCAUUUGCCACAAAUCCAAAAAAGUAUAGGUCACGGGUCACAUAUUUUCAAAUUUAAUGAUCACAGAUUACUUUUUUAGCCACAAAAUAAUCGAAUUUCAACGUCGCAGAUUAAUAGUCAGUCACAGAGAAUCAAAUAGUUGAUCACCCACACCAAACACUCGUUCCCGAUCCGUUUCAAUACUUGAUCACAAACACUACCCCCAGCCACAAGAUCAUCCCAACCAUCGUCGCCACCACCACCAUUACUCCAAAAAUCGACAAAUCUAACUAAAAUAACUCAACAUCAACCACCGCACUAAGCCAAGCAAGCCACCAACUACUAGCAAUGACAGGGAUCGAACAGUAAGAGUACAGCAGGUUGAUCAGAAAAUCGCCAACAAAAACCACAGACCACCACACCAUUGCCGACCAAAAACCGCCUACCACCACACUAUCGCUUGCACAGCACCCACUUCCAAGAGCUAUAAAUACAACCAACAAAAAUCAGCUCCAAAAGAUUCAGCACCACCAGAUCGAACAGUGCAGCCACAUCGCUACACCACACCACAUCACACUGCUACCUAGAACACCACCACACCACACCAUACCGUCCCAAAAACUUAGGUGCCACCAAAUCGAACUCGCACAGUUGCAUUGCCAACCACAACACAAC